Molecule: ribosomal RNA, 301 nt
Filed under: uncultured bacterium
Lineage: Bacteria
Description: partial 16S ribosomal RNA
Rfam family: Bacterial small subunit ribosomal RNA
Source: RNAcentral
CAGCAGCCGCGGUAAAACGGAGGGAGCUAGCGUUGUUCGGAAUUACUGGGCGUAAAGCGCGCGUAGGCGGUUACUCAAGUCAGAGGUGAAAGCCCAGGGCUCAACCCCGGAACUGCCUUUGAAACUAGGUGACUAGAAUCUUGGAGAGGUCAGUGGAAUUCCGAGUGUAGAGGUGAAAUUCGUAGAUAUUCGGAAGAACACCAGUGGCGAAGGCGACUGACUGGACAAGUAUUGACGCUGAGGUGCGAAAGCGUGGGGAGCAAACAGGAUUAGAUACCCCCGUAGUCCCUGUCUCUUAUAU